AACGAACGCUGGCGGCAUGCCUAACACAUGCAAGUCGAACGAGACCUUCGGGUUUAGUGGCGCACGGGUGCGUACCGCGUGGGAACUUGCACUUAGGUUCGCAAUAACUCCCCGAAAGGGGUGCUCAUACCGGUUAAUGUCUUAGGACCAAAGAUUUAUCGCCUUUGGAUGGGCCCGGGUUAGUUUGGGUGGUUGGUAGGGUAAAAGCGUACCAAGGCGAUGUUGCAGAGCUGGUCGGUGAGCAGGAUCAGGCAGACUGGGACUGAGGCACGGCCCAGACUCCUAGGGGAGGGAGCAGUGGGGAGUAUUAGAGAAGGGGGGAAAGCCUAAUCCAGCAAUGCCGCGGAAGUGAUGAAGGCCGUAGGAUUGUAAAGCUCUUUUACCCGGGAUGAUAAUGACAGUACCGGGAGAAUAAGCACCGGCUAACUACGUG
Molecule: ribosomal RNA, 433 nt
Filed under: uncultured bacterium
Lineage: Bacteria
Description: partial 16S ribosomal RNA
Rfam family: Bacterial small subunit ribosomal RNA
Source: RNAcentral